AUUUUGAAUAUAGAGUCAGGGUUAUUAAAUUAGCAAUACAAGUUACGGUUUGAAAAAUGUGCAAUUUGUUAAACAAAAUUUUAUGUGGCGAUGAAAUUCAAACAUAAUACACCCACAAUUAAAUAGGACUCUGAAGAAUAACAUCUGGCA
Molecule: long non-coding RNA, 150 nt
Organism: Oxyura jamaicensis (ruddy duck)
Lineage: Eukaryota; Metazoa; Chordata; Aves; Anseriformes; Anatidae
Exons: 3
Source: RefSeq, a predicted model, not a curated record